GACGAACGCUGGCGGCGCGCUUAACACAUGCAAGUCGAGCGAUGAAACUUUAACAGAACCCUUCGGGGCGAAGAUAAAGUGGAUUAGCGGCGGACGGGUGAGUAACACGUGAGUAACCUGCCUUAGACAUUGGGAUAGUCUCGGGAAACCGGGAUUAAUACCAAAUAAAAUCAUAAUGACACAUGUCAUAACGAUCAAAACUCCGGUGGUCUAAGAUGGACUCGCGUCCCAUUAGUUAGUUGGUAGAGUAAAAGCCUACCAAGGCGACGAUGGGUAGCCGGCCUGGGAGGGUGAACGGCCACAUUGGAACUGAGAAACGGUCCAAACUCCUACGGGAGGCAGCAGUGGGGAAUAUUGCACAAUGGAGGGAACUCUGAUGCAGCGACGCCGCGUGAACGAAGAAGGCUUUCGAGUCGUAAAGUUCUUUUAUAUGGGAAGAUAAUGACGGUACCAUAAGAAAAAGCCCCGGCUAACUACGUG
RNAcentral lists this ribosomal RNA (480 nucleotides) under uncultured bacterium. RNAcentral describes it as "partial 16S ribosomal RNA". It matches the Rfam family "Bacterial small subunit ribosomal RNA", at positions 28 to 507 of the family's 1533-position model. The record is from RNAcentral.